GAAAUGCGAUAAGUAAUGUGAAUUGCAGAAUUCAGUGAAUCAUCGAAUCUUUGAACGCACCUUGCGCUCCUUGGUAUUCCUUGGGGCAUGCCUGUUUGAGUAUCAUGAAAUCUUCAAAGUAAAUCUUUUGUUAACUCAAUUGGUUUCUACUUUGGUAUUGGAGGUCUUUGCAGCUCCACACCUGCUCCUCUUUGUUCAUUAGCUGGAUCUCAGUGUUAUGCUUGGUUCCACUCGGCGUGAUAAGUUAUCUAUCGCUGAGGACACUGUAAAAGGUGGCCAAGGUAAAUGCAGAUGAACCGCUUCUAAUAGUCCAUUGACUUGGACAAUACUUUUAUGAUCUGAUCUCAAAUCAGGUAGGACUACCCGCUGAACUUAAGC
RNAcentral lists this unclassified non-coding RNA (378 nucleotides) under plant metagenome. Its description in RNAcentral is "partial contains 5.8S ribosomal RNA, internal transcribed spacer 2, and large subunit ribosomal RNA". The stretch from base 1 to 105 matches the Rfam family "5.8S ribosomal RNA", at positions 50 to 154 of the family's 154-position model. The record is from RNAcentral.